Long non-coding RNA from Symphalangus syndactylus (siamang), 1805 nucleotides. RefSeq lists it as uncharacterized. NCBI's taxonomy places the organism in Eukaryota, Metazoa, Chordata, Mammalia, Primates, Hylobatidae. The record is from RefSeq and is a predicted model, not a curated record.
AUCUGAAAGAGACUGAGCUUGAACAGUGAGGACUACAUUAACCAGGGGGCUGGAUCUGCAUUGCUCACUCUUCAACAGAGAUUGGAACCCAGCUGACUGUGAGUGAGUGUGGAAGAGCCCCCUGCUGGAGGCAAAUGACUGGAGCCCUGUGCAUAUGCUGGGCCAUGAGGAAGAGCACAAGUAUAUUCUCUGGAACAGGGCUCUUCAGGGCCUGGGCUAAGUCAGCCAGCACCCUUCUCCUCCUCACCCCACCCAAUGGUGCUCAUGCAUCACUAGCAGGGAGAAUCCAGCGUCAUAGUCAUGCUCUUCCCUUUUAAAACUGACCAGGGACUUCCCACAGAGGCAUGAAAAAUAUCAGGGUCUCGAAACCAGACUAAUGCUAGGACUAUUGCAGUAGUGUUAUUUGCUGGAGACAAAUGAUGUUACUUCACUCAGUGGUUGCAUAGGAAGAAAACCGGUACUGAUCUUCAUGAGAUCUUCAUCCUGGAACCUUAGCUCCUACCACACUCUUUGAAACAUGGGAGACAUUCAAUAAGCAUUUGUUCUUUGAAUAUCAUCAGUUAUACUCUGUGCUUCUUAUAGAAGCAUGUGCAUGUUUUAGUUAAUCGCCUUCCUAAAGAAGACGAUGGGUGUUUUCACUCUGUGAAGCCCUCUACCAACUUAUUCUAAAGUCAGAAAGGAGGUGAAAACCUGCCUUAACGUAUAGAAAGGAACAGUUUAGUGACCAAAAAGUUUGACAAGAACUGGAACUAUAUACAAGAAAUACCAACCGAAUCACAGAACUAUUCCUGGAGCCCCCACUUCCAGUGUCCUUCACUCCAUCCUCUCCUUCAACUUCAAUUUAACUACAAAAAACAUUCAUUAACAUGUGUGCCGAUGUUUCCGAUUUUCCUGCCCUUUUCCCUUCUGUGACUUCCAAAGUACCUGAGGGUGCAUUCCGCUGUUGCUCUUAUUUCUCUUUUCCUAACCACAAAUACUGAAGCCCCUGGUGAGAGGCUCCUGGCACGAGUGUGAUAGGCUCAUGGUAGGUCGUCAUGAGAAGCUUUCCAGGCACAUCCCAUGGCACCUGCUAGUUAUGCCCAGUAAUUUCUUGCUGUCCCUGUUUUAGAUACAUUAUAUUUGCGAUCACUGAUAAACCUUUUUUUUAUGAUUCUGAAUUUUUGAUUCUAUUUUAAAAAUCUUUUUCUAUUUCAAGGUCAGGAAGAUAUUCUCUAAUAUUGUCUUCUAGAAGUUUUAUUGUAUUGAUUUUUAUAGAUAGAUAUGUUUUCUAUUGGAAUUAAUUUUGUGUAUAAAGUGAGAUAGGUGUCAAAUUUCUUUCUUUCUGUCUUUCUUUUUUUUUCAGUAAGGAUAUACAACUGAUCCAGCAGCAUUUAUUGACAGGCUGAUUCUUUCUGGGUCACUAAAUUGACAAUUAUUAGAUCACAAAAGAGGCACAAAAGAGAACAUACUGUAUAGUUUAAUUUGUAUAAUGUUACUAAGCAUGUUUAGGAAUAAAUAUUAGAUUUUGAAGGUGUAUUGAGAAGCAAUGAAGGGAUUGCUAUGAAAGUCUGAUGGUGAGUUGUCUUGAUGGGAAGGGGGAGCAAUGUGGACAGGAGGAGGCACGGGAGAGCUUCUGGUGCUGGCCUCGUGCUGUUUCUUGAUUUGGGUGGUGGGUUCAUGGAUGUUGGCAUUGUAAUGAUUGAUUAAAUUGUACAUUUAUGCUUUAUGUGUCUUACUAUAUGUGUGUUCUGUGUCACUAUACAAUGUUAAAAAUGUAACACAUUUGGUUUCCUAAUCAUAUCCCAGUAAUAAAUAUUUAUUUAUUU